CCUACGGGUGGCAGCAGUGAGGAAUAUUGGUCAAUGGACGAGAGUCUGAACCAGCCAAGUAGCGUGAAGGAUGACUGCCCUAUGGGUUGUAAACUUCUUUUAUAUGGGAAUAAAAUGUUCCACGUGUGGGAUUUUGUAUGUACCAUAUGAAUAAGGAUCGGCUAACUCCGUGCCAGCAGCCGCGGUAAUACGGAGGAACCGAGCGUUAUCCGGAUUUAUUGGGUUUAACGGGAGCGUAGGUGGAUUGUUAAGUCAGUUGUGAAAGUUUGCGGCUCAACCGUAAAAUUGCAGUUGAAACUGGCAGUCUUGAGUACAGUAGAGGUGGGCGGAAUUCGUGGUGUAGCGGUGAAAUGCUUAGAUAUCACGAAGAACUCCGAUUGCGAAGGCAGUUCACUGGACUGCAACUGACACUGAGGCUCGAAAGUGUGGGUAUCAAACAGGAUUAGAUACCCUAGUAGUC
RNAcentral lists this ribosomal RNA (460 nucleotides) under uncultured bacterium. Its description in RNAcentral is "partial 16S ribosomal RNA". It matches the Rfam family "Bacterial small subunit ribosomal RNA", at positions 338 to 795 of the family's 1533-position model. The record is from RNAcentral.